This 253-nucleotide ribosomal RNA is filed under the name uncultured bacterium. Its description in RNAcentral is "partial 16S ribosomal RNA". It matches the Rfam family "Bacterial small subunit ribosomal RNA", at positions 524 to 776 of the family's 1533-position model. The record is from RNAcentral.
UACAGACGGUCCAAACGUUAUUCGGAAUCACUGGGCGUAAAGAGCGCGCAGGCGGUCGUUCAAGUCGCGUGUGAAAGCCCCCGGCUCAACUGGGGAGGGUCACACGAUACUGAUCGACUCGAAGGCAGGAGAGGGAAGUGGAAUUCCCGGUGUAGUGGUGAAAUGCGUAGAUAUCGGGAGGAACACCAGUGGCGAAGGCGACUUCCUGGCCUGUUCUUGACGCUGAGGCGCGAAAGCUAGGGGAGCAAACGGG